UGGCUCAGGACGAACGCUGGCGGCGUGCCUAACACAUGCAAGUCGAGCGAGGAGAUCCUCGGGAUGAUCCUAGCGGCGGACGGGUGAGUAACACGUGGGCAACCUGCCUCAUAGAGAGGAAUAGCCUUCCGAAAGGGAGAUUAAUACCUCAUAACAUUGCAGUUUCGCAUGGAACAGCAAUUAAAGGAGUAAUCCGCUAUGAGAUGGGCCCGCGGCGCAUUAGCUAGUUGGUGAGGUAACGGCUCACCAAGGCGACGAUGCGUAGCCGACCUGAGAGGGUGAUCGGCCACAUUGGGACUGAGACACGGCCCAGACUCCUACGGGAGGCAGCAGGUGGGGAAUAUUGCACAAUGGGGGAAACCCUGAUGCAAGCAACGCCGCGUGAGUGAUGACGGCCUUCGGGUUGUAAAGCUCUGUCUUCAGGGACGAUAAUGACGGUACCUGAGGAGGAAGCCACGGCUAACUACGUGCCAGCCGCUGC
This 481-nucleotide ribosomal RNA is filed under the name uncultured bacterium. Its description in RNAcentral is "bacterial SSU rRNA". It matches the Rfam family "Bacterial small subunit ribosomal RNA", at positions 20 to 518 of the family's 1533-position model. The record is from RNAcentral.